Molecule: ribosomal RNA, 453 nt
Filed under: uncultured Porphyromonadaceae bacterium
Lineage: Bacteria; Pseudomonadati; Bacteroidota; Bacteroidia; Bacteroidales; Porphyromonadaceae
Description: partial 16S ribosomal RNA
Rfam family: Bacterial small subunit ribosomal RNA
Source: RNAcentral
ACGGGAGGCAGCAGUGAGGAAUAUUGGUCAAUGGGCGGAAGCCUGAACCAGCCAAGUCGCGUGAAGGAUGAAGGUAUUAUGUAUUGUAAACUUCUUUAGCUGUGGAGCAAUAAUCUCCAUGUAUGGAGAGAUAAGAGUACACAGAGAAUAAGGAUCGGCUAACUCCGUGCCAGCAGCCGCGGUAAUACGGAGGAUCCGAGCGUUAUCCGGAUUUAUUGGGUUUAAAGGGUGCGCAGGCGGCUUUCUAAGUCAGUGGUCAAAUCGUGGUGCUCAACGCCAUCCCGCCAUUGAUACUGGAGAGCUUGAUUGCGGUCGAGGUUUGCGGAAUUCGUCGUGUAGCGGUGAAAUGCAUAGAUAUGACGAAGAACACCGAUUGCGUAGGCAGCAGACCAGGCCGUAAAUGACGCUCAUGCACGAAAGUGCGGGGAUCGAACAGGAUUAGAUACCCUGGUA